Molecule: ribosomal RNA, 132 nt
Filed under: Escherichia coli
Lineage: Bacteria; Pseudomonadati; Pseudomonadota; Gammaproteobacteria; Enterobacterales; Enterobacteriaceae
Description: partial 16S ribosomal RNA
Rfam family: Bacterial small subunit ribosomal RNA
Source: RNAcentral
UUAAAUUGAAGAGUUUGAUCAUGGCUCAGAUUGAACGCUGGCGGCAGGCCUAACACAUGCAAGUCGAACGGUAACAGGAAGAAGCCUGCUUCUUUGCUGACGAGUGGCGGACGGGUGAGUAAUGUCUGGGAA